AUUGAACGCUGGCGGCAGGCCUAACACAUGCAAGUCGAGCGGAUGAAGGGAGCUUGCUCCUGGAUUCAGCGGCGGACAGGUGAGUAAUGCCUAGGAAUCUGCCUGGUAGUGGGAGAUAACGUCCGGAAACGGGCGCUAAUACCGCAUACGUCCUGAGGGAGAAAGUGGGGGAUCUUCGGACCUCACGCUAUCAGAUGAGCCUAGGUCGGAUUAGCUAGUUGGUGGGGUAAAGGCCUACCAAGGCGACGAUCCGUAACUGGUCUGAGAGGAUGAUCAGUCACACUGGAACUGAGACACGGUCCAGACUCCUACGGGAGGCAGCAGUGGGGAAUAUUGGACAAUGGGCGAAAGCCUGAUCCAGCCAUGCCGCGUGUGUGAAGAAGGUCUUCGGAUUGUAAAGCACUUUAAGUUGGGAGGAAGGGCAGUAAGUUAAUACCUUGCUGUUUUGACGUUACCAACAGAAUAAGCACCGGCUAACUUCGUG
Molecule: ribosomal RNA, 484 nt
Filed under: uncultured bacterium
Lineage: Bacteria
Description: partial 16S ribosomal RNA
Rfam family: Bacterial small subunit ribosomal RNA
Source: RNAcentral